UAAGAGAUUUCAGAAGAGUAAAGCCUACAUAUUCUCCAUUUCAGGCGAAAUGCUUUAGAGGAGGAACAAGAAAUGUUUUUCAGUCACAUUUAUUUACCUCCCAUCACCUAAUGCAGAAGCUCUGAUAUACUGUGGAAAGUAUCCUGACUGGUAGCAUCAUGGUUUGGUAAGGCAAUUCCAAGGAAUACAAGAGGCUGCAGAGAGUGGUGGACCCAGCCCGUCCAUCACAAGCACAGUGUUCACCUCCAUCGACAGCAUCUACAAAAGGCACUUCCUAGGAUCGCAGCAUUCAUCAUCGAGGAUUCCCACCAUCCAGGCCAUGCCCACAUCUCACUGCCAUCAGAUAGGAGAUACAGAAGCUUGAAAUCCCAUAUCAUCAUGUUGAGGUAUGUGCCAACAACCAUCAAGUCCUGGAAUCAACCUGCAAGCUAGGAUUCUACCUCUAUAAUGGAACAAUACCAUUCACCUCUGGCACCACCGUCCACUAGUUUUGUUUUCCACCAAUUUCCUGAUUCUCUUUUAGAAUGUUGUGUAUGAUUUAUGUACAUUUCAUUUUUGUGUCUGAGUUCAUAUGCCUGUGAUGCUGCUGCAAGUGUGAUUUUCCACUGUAUCUCACUGUACUCAUGCAUGCAUUGUUAGAGAAAAACAUUUUUCACACAGAGAGUGGUGAUUCUCUGGAACUCUCUGCCACAGAAGGUAGUUGAGGCCAGUUCAUUGGCUAUAUUUAAGAGGGAGUUAGAUGUGGCCCUUGUGGAUAAAGGGAUCAGGGGGUAUGGAAAGAAGGCAGGUACAGGAUACCGAGUUGGAUGAUCAGCCAUGAUCAUAUUGAAUGGCGGUGCAGGCUCGAAGGGCCGAAUGGCCUACUCCUGCACCUAUUUUCUAUGUUUCUAUGCAACGAUUUGCUCAAAUUGGACGUCUGUAAAGAAUUUGAGGCAUUACUAAAGGAGCACGAGAUGAGAUAUUGAUAACAGGAAUAUUAUUUUGGAUAAUGUACUAUUUGGAAGCUGGAUGGCAAUUGUAUUGAAAUUAAUACAAAUAAUUUGAAAGAGUUAAAACUGUGCACCAGAAAUGCAACUGAUUCAUUGCUCAACUGUUACAGUGCAAUUGCAAAUCAGCUUAGGCCCAUGUUAUCAAAUAAAUGACAAAUUAAAAAUGUUACUAACUAUA
Molecule: long non-coding RNA, 1167 nt
Organism: Leucoraja erinaceus (little skate)
Lineage: Eukaryota; Metazoa; Chordata; Chondrichthyes; Rajiformes; Rajidae
Exons: 2
Source: RefSeq, a predicted model, not a curated record